AUACGGAGGGUGCGAGCGUUAAUCGGAAUUACUGGGCGUAAAGCGCGCGUAGGCGGAUAAUUAAGUCAGAUGUGAAAUCCCCGGGCUCAACCUGGGAACUGCAUUUGAUACUGAUUAACUAGAGUAUGGUAGAGGUGAGUGGAAUUUCCGGUGUAGCGGUGAAAUGCGUAGAGAUCGGAAGGAACACCAGUGGCGAAGGCGACUCACUGGGCCAUUACUGACGCUGAGGUGCGAAAGCGUGAGUAGCAAACAGGAUUAGAAACCCUAGUAGUCC
This 274-nucleotide ribosomal RNA is filed under the name uncultured bacterium. RNAcentral describes it as "partial 16S ribosomal RNA". It matches the Rfam family "Bacterial small subunit ribosomal RNA", at positions 523 to 796 of the family's 1533-position model. The record is from RNAcentral.